AACAAUAUGUUGUACCAUUUAUUCGCUAAUGGUUAAGUUAGAAAGGGCGCACGGUGAAUGCCUUGGCACUAGGAGCCGAUGAAGGACGGGACUAACACCGAUAUGCUUCGGGGAGCUGUAAGUGAGCUUUGAUCCGGAGAUUUCCGAAUGGGGAAACCCACUGUUCGUAAUGGAACAGUAUCUUUAUCUGAAUACAUAGGAUAUUGAAGGCAGACCCGGGGAACUGAAACAUCUAAGUACCCGGAGGAAGAGAAAGCAAAUGCGAUUUCCUGAGUAGCGGCGAGCGAAACGGAAUUAGCCCAAACCAAGAGGCUUGCCUCUUGGGGUUGUAGGACACUCUAUACGGAGUUACAAAGGAACGAAGUAAAUGAAGCGACCUGGAAAGGUCCGUCGAAGAAGGUAACAACCCUGUAGUUGAAACUUCGUUCCCUCUUGAGUGGAUCCUGAGUACGGCGGAACACGUGAAAUUCCGUCGGAAGCUGGGAGGACCAUCUCCCAAGGCUAAAUACUACCUAGUGACCGAUAGUGAACCAGUACCGUGAGGGAAAGGUGAAAAGCACCCCGGAAGGGGAGUGAAAGAGAUCCUGAAACCGUGUGCCUACAAGUAGUCAGAGCCCGUUAAUGGGUGAUGGCGUGCCUUUUGUAGAAUGAACCGGCGAGUUACGAUCCCAUGCAAGGUUAAGCUGAUAAGGCGGAGCCGUAGCGAAAGCGAGUCUGAAUAGGGCGUUUAGUAUGUGGUUGUAGACCCGAAACCAGGUGAUCUACCCAUGUCCAGGGUGAAGUUCAGGUAACACUGAAUGGAGGCCCGAACCCACGCACGUUGAAAAGUGCGGGGAUGAGGUGUGGGUAGCGGAGAAAUUCCAAUCGAACCUGGAGAUAGCUGGUUCUCUCCGAAAUAGCUUUAGGGCUAGCCUCAUGUUGUGAGAGUCUUGGAGGUAGAGCACUGAUUGGACUAGGGGCCCCCAACGGGUUACCGAAUUCAGUCAAACUCCGAAUGCCAAAGACUUAUCCAUGGGAGUCAGACUGCGAGUGAUAAGAUCCGUAGUCAAAAGGGAAACAGCCCAGACCACCAGCUAAGGUCCCCAAGUAUACGUUAAGUGGAAAAGGAUGUGGAGUUGCUUAGACAACCAGGAUGUUGGCUUAGAAGCAGCCACCAUUUAAAGAGUGCGUAAUAGCUCACUGGUCGAGUGACUCUGCGCCGAAAAUGUACCGGGGCUAAACGUAUCACCGAAGCUGUGGAUUGACAUCUUUGAUGUCAGUGGUAGGAGAGCGUUCUAAGUGCAGCGAAGUCAGAUCGUAAGGACUGGUGGAGCGCUUAGAAGUGAGAAUGCCGGUAUGAGUAGCGAAAGACAAGUGAGAAUCUUGUCCACCGAAUGCCUAAGGUUUCCUGAGGAAGGCUCGUCCGCUCAGGGUUAGUCGGGACCUAAGCCGAGGCUGAAAAGCGUAGGCGAUGGCCAACAGGUUGAUAUUCCUGUACCACCUCCCCGCCGUUUGAGUAAUGGGGGGACGCAGUAGGAUAGGGUAAGCGCGCUGCUGGAUAUGCGCGUUCAAGCAGUUAGGCUGAUGAGUAGGCAAAUCCGCUCAUCAUAAAGGCUGAGCUGUGAUGACGAGGGAAUUAUAGUACCGAAGUUCCUGAUUCCACACUGCCAAGAAAAGCCUCUAGCGAGGCGGGAGGUGCCCGUACCGCAAACCGACACAGGUAGGCGAGGAGAGAAUCCUAAGGUGAUCGAGAGAACUCUCGUUAAGGAACUCGGCAAAAUGACCCCGUAACUUCGGGAGAAGGGGUGCUCUGGUAGGGUGUAUAGCCCGAGAGAGCCGCAGUGAAUAGGCCCAGGCGACUGUUUAGCAAAAACACAGGUCUCUGCGAAGCCGCAAGGCGAAGUAUAGGGGCUGACGCCUGCCCGGUGCUGGAAGGUUAAGAGGAGGGGUUAUCCUUUGGGAGAAGCUCUGAAUCGAAGCCCCAGUAAACGGCGGCCGUAACUAUAACGGUCCUAAGGUAGCGAAAUUCCUUGUCGGGUAAGUUCCGACCCGCACGAAAGGCGUAACGAUCUGGGCACUGUCUCAACGAGAGACUCGGUGAAAUUAUAGUACCUGUGAAGAUGCAGGUUACCCGCGACAGGACGGAAAGACCCCGUGGAGCUUUACUGUAGCCUGAUAUUGAAUUUUGGUACAGCUUGUACAGGAUAGGUAGGAGCCUGAGAAGCCGGAGCGCUAGCUUCGGUGGAGGCGUCGGUGGGAUACUACCCUGGCUGUAUUGAAAUUCUAACCCGCGGCCCUGAUCGGGCCGGGAGACAGUGUCAGGUGGGCAGUUUGACUGGGGCGGUCGCCUCCUAAAAUGUAACGGAGGCGCCCAAAGGUUCCCUCAGAAUGGUUGGAAAUCAUUCGUAGAGUGUAAAGGCACAAGGGAGCUUGACUGCGAGACCUACAAGUCGAGCAGGGACGAAAGUCGGGCUUAGUGAUCCGGUGGUUCCGCAUGGAAGGGCCAUCGCUCAACGGAUAAAAGCUACCCCGGGGAUAACAGGCUUAUCUCCCCCAAGAGUCCACAUCGACGGGGAGGUUUGGCACCUCGAUGUCGGCUCAUCGCAUCCUGGGGCUGUAGUCGGUCCCAAGGGUUGGGCUGUUCGCCCAUUAAAGCGGUACGCGAGCUGGGUUCAGAACGUCGUGAGACAGUUCGGUCCCUAUCCGUCGUGGGCGUAGGAAAUUUGAGAGGAGCUGUCCUUAGUACGAGAGGACCGGGAUGGACACACCGCUGGUGUACCAGUUGUCUUGCCAAAGGCAUCGCUGGGUAGCUAUGUGUGGACGGGAUAAGUGCUGAAAGCAUCUAAGCAUGAAGCCCCCCUCAAGAUGAGAUUUCCCAUAGCGCAAGCUAGUAAGAUCCCUGAAAGAUGAUCAGGUUGAUAGGUCAGAGGUGGAAGCGUGGCGACAUGUGUAGCUGACUGAUACUAAUCGAUCGAGGACUUAACCAA
RNAcentral lists this ribosomal RNA (2966 nucleotides) under Priestia megaterium. Its description in RNAcentral is "Bacillus megaterium 23S ribosomal RNA". It matches the Rfam family "Bacterial large subunit ribosomal RNA". Lineage: Bacteria; Bacillati; Bacillota; Bacilli; Caryophanales; Bacillaceae. The record is from RNAcentral.